RNAcentral lists this ribosomal RNA (253 nucleotides) under uncultured bacterium. Its description in RNAcentral is "partial 16S ribosomal RNA". It matches the Rfam family "Bacterial small subunit ribosomal RNA", at positions 524 to 776 of the family's 1533-position model. The record is from RNAcentral.
UACGUAGGGUGCAAGCGUUAUCCGGAAUUAUUGGGCGUAAAGCGCACGUAGGCGGCUUUGCAAGUCGGAUGUGAAAUCCCUCGGCUCAACCAAGGAAGUGCAUCCGAAACUGCAGAGCUUGAGUACCAAAGAGGAUCGCGGAAUUCCCGGUGUAGAGGUGAAAUUCGUAGAUAUCGGGAGGAACACCAGUGGCGAAGGCGGCGAUCUGGGUGGAUACUGACGCUGAGGUGCGAAAGCGUGGGGAGCAAACAGG